GGAUGAACGCUGGCGGCGUGCUUAACACAUGCAAGUCGAACGAUGAUCCCAGCUUGCUGGGGGAUUAGUGGCGAACGGGUGAGUAACACGUGAGUAACCUGCCCUUGACUCUGGGAUAAGCCUGGGAAACUGGGUCUAAUACCGGAUACGACCAUCUGGCGCAUGUCAUGGUGGUGGAAAGCUUUUGUGGUUUUGGAUGGACUCGCGGCCUAUCAGCUUGUUGGUGGGGUAAUGGCCUACCAAGGCGACGACGGGUAGCCGGCCUGAGAGGGUGACCGGCCACACUGGGACUGAGACACGGCCCAGACUCCUACGGGAGGCAGCAGUGGGGAAUAUUGCACAAUGGGCGCAAGCCUGAUGCAGCGACGCCGCGUGAGGGAUGACGGCCUUCGGGUUGUAAACCUCUUUCAGUAGGGAAGAAGCGAAAGUGACGGUACCUGCAGAAGAAGCGCCGGCUAACUACKU
Molecule: ribosomal RNA, 465 nt
Filed under: Arthrobacter sp.
Lineage: Bacteria; Bacillati; Actinomycetota; Actinomycetes; Micrococcales; Micrococcaceae
Description: bacterial SSU rRNA
Source: RNAcentral